CCUACGGGUGGCAGCAGUAGGGAAUCUUCCACAAUGGGCGAAAGCCUGAUGGAGCAACGCCGCGUGGGUGAAGAAGGUCUUCGGAUCGUAAAACCCUGUUGUUAGAGAAGAAAGUGCGUGAGAGUAACUGUUCACGUUUCGACGGUAUCUAACCAGAAAGCCACGGCUAACUACGUGCCAGCAGCCGCGGUAAUACGUAGGUGGCAAGCGUUAUCCGGAUUUAUUGGGCGUAAAGGGAACGCAGGCGGUCUUUUAAGUCUGAUGUGAAAGCCUUCGGCUUAACCGGAGUAGUGCAUUGGAAACUGGGAGACUUGAGUGCAGAAGAGGAGAGUGGAACUCCAUGUGUAGCGGUGAAAUGCGUAGAUAUAUGGAAGAACACCAGUGGCGAAAGCGGCUCUCUGGACGGCAACUGACACUGAGGCUCGAAAGUGUGGGUAUCAAACAGGAUUAGAUACCCUAGUAGUC
This 465-nucleotide ribosomal RNA is filed under the name uncultured bacterium. RNAcentral's name for it is "partial 16S ribosomal RNA". It matches the Rfam family "Bacterial small subunit ribosomal RNA", at positions 338 to 795 of the family's 1533-position model. The record is from RNAcentral.